RNAcentral lists this ribosomal RNA (212 nucleotides) under Clostridioides difficile. RNAcentral describes it as "partial 23S ribosomal RNA". It matches the Rfam family "Bacterial large subunit ribosomal RNA", at positions 1673 to 1896 of the family's 2925-position model. Lineage: Bacteria; Bacillati; Bacillota; Clostridia; Peptostreptococcales; Peptostreptococcaceae. The record is from RNAcentral.
AGAGUAUCCUAAGGCCCGCGAGAGAACUGUUGUUAAGGAACUCGGCAAAAUGACCCCGUAACUUAGGGAUAAGGGGUGCCACCAGCCGGUGGCCGCAGAGAAUAGGCCCAAGCGACUGUUUACCAAAGACAUAGGUUUCUGCUAAGUCGCAAGACGAUGUAUAGGAGCUGACGCCUGCCCGGUGCUGGAAGGUUAAGGGGAUCUGUUAGAGC